UGUAUGUUACCACGCGGUCGGAAUCCGACUAAAACCGACUGGCUAGUCGCAGGUCGCGCUCAACGCCGUGCGGUACCCUCUGGUAUUCACAUUAUCAAAUUAUAAGUGGGCAGUGUCAAGUGAUUUUAGUGUUCUAAAAUUAAAUUACGAGCACUAACAACAGAACACACACAAAAUUAAACAUGUCAAAAAUAUAAAAAAA
Molecule: long non-coding RNA, 202 nt
Organism: Melitaea cinxia (Glanville fritillary)
Lineage: Eukaryota; Metazoa; Arthropoda; Insecta; Lepidoptera; Nymphalidae
Exons: 2
Source: RefSeq, a predicted model, not a curated record